RNAcentral lists this ribosomal RNA (1376 nucleotides) under uncultured bacterium. RNAcentral's name for it is "bacterial SSU rRNA". It matches the Rfam family "Bacterial small subunit ribosomal RNA". The record is from RNAcentral.
CCUUAGAGUUUGAUCCUGGCUCAAGACGAACGCUGGCGGCGUGCUUAACACAUGCAAGUCGAGCGGACUUAAUAGAAGAGAGACUUCGGUCAACCAUCUAUUAAGUUAGCGGCGGAUGGGUGAGUAACGCGUGGGAAACCUACCUUAUAGAGGGGGAUAGCCUCGAGAAAUCGGGAUUAAUACCCCAUAAUACCAAGACUUCACAUGAAAUCCUGGUCAAAGCGACUAAGCGCUGUAAGAUGGUCCCGCGUCCCAUUAGCUAGUUGGUGAGAUAAAAGCCCACCAAGGCAACGAUGGGUAGCCGACCUGAGAGGGUGAUCGGCCACACUGGGACUGAGACACGGCCCAGACUCCUACGGGAGGCAGCAGUGGGGAAUAUUGCGCAAUGGGGGGAACCCUGACGCAGCAACGCCGCGUGAGCGACGAAGGCCUUCGGGUCGUAAAGCUCUGUCUUAAGGGAUGAUAAUGACAGUACCUUAAGAGGAAGCCCCGGCUAACUACGUGCCAGCAGCCGCGGUAAUACGUAGGGGGCAAGCGUUGUCCGGAUUUACUGGGUGUAAAGGGCGCGUAGGCGGUUAUCUAAGUCAGCUGUGAAAGUCCAGGGCUUAACCCUGGAAUUGCAAUUGAAACUAAAUAACUUGAGUUAAGGAGAGGAGAGCGGAAUUCCUAGUGUAGCGGUGAAAUGCGUAGAUAUUAGGAAGAACACCAGUGGCGAAGGCGGCUCUCUGGACUUAAACUGACGCUGAGGCGCGAAAGCGUGGGUAGCGAACAGGAUUAGAUACCCUGGUAGUCCACGCCGUAAACGAUGAGUGCUAGGUGUUGGGAGUCAAAUCUCAGUGCCGGAGUUAACACAUUAAGUAUUCCGCCUGGGGAGUACGGUCGCAAGAUUGAAACUCAAAGGAAUAGACGGGGACCCGCACAAGCGGUGGAGCAUGUGGUUUAAUUCGACUCUACGCGAGAAACCUCACCAAGGCUUGACAUCUAGCUGCAAGGUCUGGAAACAGAUCCGCCUUCGAGGGUGCUAGACAGAUGCUGCAUGGUUGUCGUCAGCUCGUGUCGUGAGAUGUACCGUUAAGUCGGGAAACGAGCGCAACCCUGAUUCUAUGUUUUAUAUGUCAUAGGAGACUGCCCGUUUUAAAUGGGAGGAAGGUGGGAUGACGUCAAAUCAGCAUGGUUCUUACGCCUUGGGCAACACACGUGCUACAAUGGGAGGUACAGAGGGACGCCAAACCGCGAGGUGGAGCCAAUCCCUUAAAACCUUUCUCAGUUCGGAUUGGAGGCUGCAAUUCGCCUCCAUGAAGUUGGAAUCGCUAGUAAUCGUGGAUCAGCUAUGCCACGGUGAAUACGUUCUCGGGUCUUGUACUCACCGCCCGUCA